UCCCAGACUCCUACGGGAGGCAGCAGUGGGGAAUAUUGCACAAUGGGGGGAACCCUGAUGCAGCGACGCCGCGUGGGUGAAGGAGUAUUUCGGUAUGUAAAGCCCUAUCAGCAGGGAAGAACAAUGACGGUACCUGACUAAGAAGCACCGGCUAAAUACGUGCCAGCAGCCGCGGUAAUACGUAUGGUGCAAGCGUUAUCCGGAUUUACUGGGUGUAAAGGGAGCGUAGACGGCGACGCAAGUCUGGAGUGAAAGCCCGGGGCCCAACCCCGGGACUGCUCUGGAAACUGCGGCGCUGGAGUACGGGAGGGGCAGGCGGAAUUCCUGGUGUAGCGGUGAAAUGCGUAGAUAUCAGGAGGAACACCGGCGGCGAAGGCGGCCUGCUGGACCGUGACUGACGUUGAGGCUCGAGAGCGUGGGGAGCAAACAGGAUUAGAUACCCGAGUAA
This 448-nucleotide ribosomal RNA is filed under the name uncultured bacterium. Its description in RNAcentral is "partial 16S ribosomal RNA". It matches the Rfam family "Bacterial small subunit ribosomal RNA", at positions 329 to 793 of the family's 1533-position model. The record is from RNAcentral.